This 627-nucleotide ribosomal RNA is filed under the name Frontonia paramagna. RNAcentral describes it as "eukaryotic LSU rRNA". The stretch from base 248 to 393 matches the Rfam family "5.8S ribosomal RNA". The record is from RNAcentral. Lineage: Eukaryota; Ciliophora; Oligohymenophorea; Peniculida; Frontoniidae.
GUAGGUGAACCUGCGGAAGGAUCAUUCACACAUGCUUUAUGCAUAAUCCAAUUUACAACCCAGUUUAUAUUCUGAUGGUAGAUCUCAAUUUGUAUGUUGUUGUCCACCUUAAGCCUAACCACAGCCACCAUUGGUGGAGAAGGAUAGCGCCUUAAAGUUGCGUGCACACAUGCAAACUGGUUCAACCAUCAGCUUUGCUUCUUUAUAUUUUUUAUCAUAUUAAUCAUGCUUCUUUAAAAUUAAAGAAAAUUCUCAACGAUGGAUAUCUGGGUUCCCAUACCGAUGAAGAACGCAGCGAACUGCGAUACGCAAUGCGAAUAGCAGAAUUCCGCGAGACAUUAGAUCUUUGAACGCAAAUGGCGCUGGCUUGCCAGCAUGUUUGGUUCAGUGUGUAUGGAGAGUAUUCUCAUCACCUUAACAGAAUGCGAUUGAAGCCUUCUAGUAGGGUUUCUCCCGUUAAAUAAGAUGUAGUGAGGUUUGUGCAACCUCCGAGACGAAGUAGUCACAUCAUUGAGUGUGAUCUCGCCUUCGGAUUAAAGAUUGCCAAAUAUACUUCACUCAGAAUUAAAAUUAAUCUCCUAUUUCGACACCUGAAAUCAAGCAAGGCUACCCGCUGAACUUAAGCAU